GCCCGUGUGGCGCAAUGGUUAGCGCGUCAGACUUUUACCUUAAGAGGUUAUCUGAAUGUUGCGAGUUCGAGUCUCGCCAUGGGCG
RNAcentral lists this transfer RNA (85 nucleotides) under Cercophora newfieldiana. It matches the Rfam family "tRNA". Rfam says of the family: Transfer RNA (tRNA) molecules are approximately 80 nucleotides in length. Their secondary structure includes four short double-helical elements and three loops (D, anti-codon, and T loops). Lineage: Eukaryota; Fungi; Ascomycota; Sordariomycetes; Sordariales; Lasiosphaeriaceae. The record is from Rfam by way of RNAcentral.